Molecule: ribosomal RNA, 492 nt
Filed under: uncultured bacterium
Lineage: Bacteria
Description: partial 16S ribosomal RNA
Rfam family: Bacterial small subunit ribosomal RNA
Source: RNAcentral
AGUGAACGCUGGCGGUAGGCCUAACACAUGCAAGUCGAACGGCAGCACAGUAAGAGCUUGCUCUUACGGGUGGCGAGUGGCGGACGGGUGAGGAAUACAUCGGAAUCUACUUUUUCGUGGGGGAUAACGUAGGGAAACUUACGCUAAUACCGCAUACGACCUACGGGUGAAAGCAGGGGAUCUUCGGACCUUGCGCGAUUGAAUGAGCCGAUGUCGGAUUAGCUAGUUGGCGGGGUAAAGGCCCACCAAGGCGACGAUCCGUAGCUGGUCUGAGAGGAUGAUCAGCCACACUGGAACUGAGACACGGUCCAGACUGCUACGGGAGGCAGCAGUGGGGAAUAUUGGACAAUGGGCGCAAGCCUGAUCCAGCCAUACCGCGUGGGUGAAGAAGGCCUUCGGGUUGUAAAGCCCUUUUGUUGGGAAAGAAAAGCAGCAGGUUAAUACCCCGCUGUUCUGACGGUACCCAAAGAAUAAGCACCGGCUAACUUCGUG